AUAGUUAAAGGGAAGCUGCCGUCUUGACAACACUCGAGGGACACUCACUUAUUAUAUUUGGUUUCAUUUUGUUCAGUGUUGAGUUGGCAAUCCAUCUUUUAUCCUGGAUAAAACUGAUAAGUGAUGCAGGUUGCAAGCAAGAGUGCACAGAAAGGCAGUAUAUGUUGAUAACAUCCUCAUUAUAAACAGACAGUGAUUGUGUGUAAGGUCUAUCACCUACCAUAACACUCACACUGACUUGAGUUGUGAGUCACCAAGCUGUCAAGAGAAACAGAAAGCUAUCCAAGAAAACAUCAGUGUUGCUCGUCACUGGAGUGUAGCCAUGUCAUACUACAUAGUGGUGAAGGGCACACCGGGCCAUGCUGGGGUGGACGUGGAGGGCCUGGACAAGAGAGAUGAGCACUACCUGUCACUAGUUGACACGCUGGGCUUCAUGAUGGGUGAGGGUGGCCUUGUCAUGAAGAAACCUGGCUCGCAUGGAAACUGUGAUGCUCUGAGCUGUGGCACACGUGUGUUGAUUCUGCAGCCGUACAUGUACCCGACUGAUGUACUGAAUGCACUGCGUGAAGUCGGCUUUAAGAUCCUCAGCUCUGCCGGCUUGCCAUCUGGUGCUGUUGUGUGGACCCUGGAGAAGCACUAGACCAACACCCUUCCAGGACUUGUGCUUAACCUUAAUGAAGACUUUUAGGGAUCAGUGUCCAGGGCCUCUUGAGUCUUCUGUUAGCCAUGUAUGGAAUCCUUCACAUUGCUGGGGACUUCAAAGAAAUUCGGGCAAAUGUACAGCUUCAGAAUAAGUCAUGGGAGACAGUAGGCAACCGGCCAACCUUCUACACAUUUGCUCACCGUGGGCGGGCGCUGAGUCCGAACUAUGUGAUGCCGCCAUCCAGUUCCCCCCAGGACAUGGUGGAGACCCUGCCCUCGUAGUGGCCCCGUGCCACUCUGCGGUGCCUUCAUUCUCACCUCUUUGUCUUUUUUUAAAGAUUUCAUAAAGGAAUCCUUCUUUUAUCUUUUAUAGGGAAGAUUUGGUAGAGAUGAGUCCUUUAUCUUUUUUAAGGCAGAAAGGUACAGCCAAAUCUUCCUUUUUAAGAAAGAUUUAGUGGAAGGAAAUCCAGUUUUUCAAGUUUCUGGAGUAACAGACAAAGUUAUUUUUAUCUUUCUUUUCAUACACAGAUGAAGAAUACAAUUUACAGGUAAUGUUCUAAAAGAUUAUAAGAAAAUAUUGAAAAAUAUUAAAUGGGGAAUUAUUCUACAUUUACAUUUGUUCCCAGUUCACAAAUAUUUAAUUUACUUACCAUAACUGAUCCAUAAAUCAUCAUUCACCUGUACCUGAAAUGCAUCACUGUAUCUCCAGGACAUUAAUCUGGAUCCAGCACUUCAGCUUUCCCUUCUGCCUUUGUUAUUUUAUUAUUCUGUAUCUUGUUUAAUGAAGACAUGGUAACAAAAAAUUGUGUCCCUAGAAUGUAAUGCGGAUCAAACACUAGCUUUUCUUUCUGCCCUAAUCAUUUUAUCUUUGUAUCGUUGUGUCCCCAGACUGUAUUGUGGAUCCUACAUUUAGGUGUCAGUGUUUGUGGUGGUUCAAGGCGUAAUAGCCUUUCUAAGUCUGAACAUGCUUCAUACAGAAUAAGUUUCAUUGAUGUUUGUCUUAUAAGAUAAUUCCAGAACCAUCAUAAGAUGUUUGAUAUUUAUAGUUCAAGUAUGUUAGCAGUUGAAGUAUUAUUUUAUCAUAUUUUCUACCAAAGAACUUGGAGAAAUAUUCACAACACCACAAGAGACGAACAUUUUCCAUGGAUUGUAAAUAUCAGUUGUUUGUUCAGUCAGGAAGUGGAGAAUUUGUAGGUGGCAAAUAGUAUUUAUAUUUCUUUCUUACCUUCUGAUGAGCAGACUUUGUCUCCCUGUGAGUCUUAUAUUUUCUUUAUGGUAGAAAGUGUAUAGGUAAUGUAUUGCACACACCUGUAAUUAGUAUGUCAUUAGCAUUUCUAUGAGUCAAUGAGGAUUAUUUCUCCAUAAAUUAAAAUCUGACCUUAAA
RNA transcript from Scylla paramamosain (green mud crab), 2026 nucleotides. It is a transcript of the gene named ER membrane protein complex subunit 5-like, with no coding region annotated. The transcript has 3 exons. The record is from RefSeq and is a predicted model, not a curated record. Lineage: Eukaryota; Metazoa; Arthropoda; Malacostraca; Decapoda; Portunidae.